GGCGCGCAGGGGCUGCCGUUGGGGCGUGCGGCGGCUGAGCUUAGGCUAGGGUUUUCUGUUUUUCCUUUUGUUUUGGGCUAGGGUUUGCAAUGGGUUAUUGGGUUUGAAUUGGGUAUUGGGCUAAUGGGUUUGUUGGCCUGUUUAUUGGUUUUGGGCCACUGUAAUUCUGGACUGGACAUUUAAUUUUAUUUUGGUUUUUAUUUGGUUUUUUUUUCUUUGGUGUUUAUUGAUUUAAUCGGGCCCGGGCAAAUUGGGCCAUUUACAAUCCGAAUUGUGUACGAUGAGAUAAUUAAUUUUUAGUGAAGAAGUGUCCAAACUGUUAGAUAGUAGAAUAAGGAUUAUUUUAAAGAAUAAAUUGUACUUAUUG
Molecule: long non-coding RNA, 367 nt
Filed under: Gossypium raimondii (Peruvian cotton)
Lineage: Eukaryota; Viridiplantae; Streptophyta; Magnoliopsida; Malvales; Malvaceae
Description: long non-coding RNA (GRAI_LNC007780)
Source: RNAcentral